RNAcentral lists this ribosomal RNA (377 nucleotides) under uncultured bacterium. Its description in RNAcentral is "bacterial SSU rRNA". It matches the Rfam family "Bacterial small subunit ribosomal RNA", at positions 523 to 898 of the family's 1533-position model. The record is from RNAcentral.
AUACAGAGACCUCAAGCGUUACCCGGAAUUAUUGGGCGUAAAGCGUCCGCAGGCGGUGGGUUAAGUCAGGCAUUAAAUUCCGAAGCUUAACUUCGGAGCUGUGUUUGAAACUAAUCCACUAGAGACAAGGAGAGGCACACGGAAUUCCCGGUGUAGGGGUUACAUCCGUUAAUAUCGGGGAGAACACCAUUUGCGAAGGCGGUGUGCUAGACUUGUUCUGACGCUCAGGGACGAAAGCGUGGGUAGCGAAUGGAAUUAGAUACUCCAGUAGUCCACGCCCUAAACUUUGAAUACUUGACUUGAGGAGUUCGACCCUCCUUGAGCCUGAAGCUAACGCUUUAAGUAUUCCGCCUGGGAAGUACGGCCGCAAGGCUAAA